Molecule: transfer RNA, 73 nt
Organism: Acholeplasma oculi
Lineage: Bacteria; Bacillati; Mycoplasmatota; Mollicutes; Acholeplasmatales; Acholeplasmataceae
Rfam family: tRNA
About the family: Transfer RNA (tRNA) molecules are approximately 80 nucleotides in length.
Source: Rfam
GGCCCGUUGGAGAAACGGUUAACUCACAUGCCUUUCACGCAUGCAUUCAUGGGUUCAAAUCCCAUACGGGUCA